Molecule: long non-coding RNA, 176 nt
Organism: Pipra filicauda (Wire-tailed manakin)
Lineage: Eukaryota; Metazoa; Chordata; Aves; Passeriformes; Pipridae
Exons: 2
Source: RefSeq, a predicted model, not a curated record
CCGGGCUGGGGGCUCCUGGUGCUGCCCGUGGGGUGGGAUGCUGGAAUUGCCUCUCUGGCUGUGUGCUGAGCUCUGGCUGCAGGGGACUGUCAGGCCUUGGUGGCUGUGAGUUCCUGUUCUUCUCCCUGGGAAACUGGAAAGAGUUCUUCAUUAGAUUGCAGAAAUGUUUUCUGAAA